GAACGCUGGCGGCAUGCCUUACACAUGCAAGUCGAACGGCAGCACGGGAGCAAUCCUGGUGGCGAGUGGCGAACGGGUGAGUAAUAUAUCGGAACGUGCCCGGUCGUGGGGGAUAACGUAGCGAAAGCUACGCUAAUACCGCAUACGAUCUACGGAUGAAAGCGGGGGAUCGCAAGACCUCGCGCGAUUGGAGCGGCCGAUAUCAGAUUAGGUAGUUGGUGAGGUAAAGGCUCACCAAGCCGACGAUCUGUAGCUGGUCUGAGAGGACGACCAGCCACACUGGGACUGAGACACGGCCCAGACUCCUACGGGAGGCAGCAGUGGGGAAUUUUGGACAAUGGGCGCAAGCCUGAUCCAGCCAUUCCGCGUGCAGGAUGAAGGCCCUCGGGUUGUAAACUGCUUUGUACGGAACGAAAAGGUUUCUCUUAAUACGAGGAGCUCAUGACGGUACCGUAAGAAUAAGCACCGGCUAACUACGUG
RNAcentral lists this ribosomal RNA (480 nucleotides) under uncultured bacterium. RNAcentral describes it as "bacterial SSU rRNA". It matches the Rfam family "Bacterial small subunit ribosomal RNA", at positions 31 to 507 of the family's 1533-position model. The record is from RNAcentral.